RNAcentral lists this long non-coding RNA (4432 nucleotides) under Xyrichtys novacula (pearly razorfish). The record is from RNAcentral. Lineage: Eukaryota; Metazoa; Chordata; Actinopteri; Labriformes; Labridae.
CGCCAAAAACGUUAAACCUUACCAUAGCCCCAAAACUUAUACCCGGGUAUUACCUUCAGGAAGCCCAAACACCCCAAAUAUUUUUUUUUUUCAUUUUUCUUUUUUUUUGGUCUAACUAACUCCAAAAGGUUGGAAAAGAGUUCCUACAAAUGUUUUGGACAGUGAUUUAAACCCUAACGCCAAAACCUUUAACCUUACCCUAGCCCCAAAUCUUAAUACCCGGGUAUUACCUUCAGGAAGCCCAAACACCCCAAAUAUAUUUUUUUUCAUUUUUCAUUUUUAUUUGGUGUAACUAACUCCAAAAGGUUGGAAAAGAGUUCCUACAAAGGUUUUGGACAGUGAUUUUAACCCUAACGCCAAAAACCUUAAACCUUACCAUAGCCCCAAAACUUAUACCCGGGUAUUACCUUCAGGAAGCCCGAACACCCCAAAUAUUCUUUUUUCCUUUUUUUCUUUUUUUUUGGUCUAACUAACUCCAAAAGCUUGGAAAAGAGAUCCUACAAAGGUUUUGGACAGUCAUUUUAACCCUAACGCCAAAAACCUUAAACCUUCCCCUAGCCCCAAAACCUAAUACCCGGGUAUUACCUUCAGGAAGCCCGAACACCCCAAAUAUUUUUUUUUCAUUUUUCUUUUUUUUUGGUCCAACUAACUCCAAAAGCUUGGAAAAGAGAUCCUACAAAGGUUUUGGACAGGGAUUUAAACCCUAACGCCAAAACCUUAAACCUUACCCUAGCCCCAACUCUUAAUACCCGGGUAUUACCUUCAGGAAGCCCAAACACCCCAAAUAUAUUUUUUUUCAUUUUUCAUUUUUAUUUGGUCUAACUAACUCCAAAAGGUUGGAAAAGAGUUCCUACAAAGGUUUUGGACAGUGAUUUAAACCCUAACGCCAAAAACGUUAAACCUUACCAUUGCCCCAAAACUUAUACCCGGGUAUUACCUUCAGGAAGCCCAAACACCCCAAAUAUUUUUUUUUUCAUUUUUCUUUUUUUUUGGUCUAACUAACUCCAAAAGGUUGGAAAAGAGUUACUACAAAGGUUUUGGACAGUGAUUUAAACCCUAACGCCAAAACCUUUAACCUUACCCUAGCCCCAACUCUUAAUACCCGGGUAUUACCUUCAGGAAGCCCAAACACCCCAAAUAUAUUUUUUUUCAUUUUUCAUUUUUAUUUGGUGUAACUAACUCCAAAAGGUUGGAAAAGAGUUCCUACAAAGGUUUUGGACAGUGAUUUUAACCCUAACGCCAAAAACCUUAAACCUUACCAUAGCCCCAAAACUUAUACCCGGGUAUUACCUUCAGGAAGCCCGAACACCCCAAAUAUUUUUUUUUCAUUUUUCUUUUUUUUUGGUCUAAAUAACUCCAAAAGCUUGGAAAAGAGAUCCUACAAAGGUUUUGGACAGUCAUUUUAACCCUAACGCCAAAAACCUUAAACCUUACCCUAGCCCCAACUCUUAAUACCCGGGUAUUACCUCCAGGAAGCCCAAACACCCCAAAUAUUUUUUUUUCAUUUUUCUUUUUUUUUGGUCUAACUAACUCCAAAAGCUUGGAAAAGAGAUCCUACAAAGGUUUUGGACAGUGAUUUUAACCCUAACGCCAAAAACCUUAAACCUUACCAUAGCCCCAUAACCUAAUACCCGUGCAUUAUCUUCAGGAAGCCAAAACAAGCCAAAUAUUGUUUUUUUCAUUUUUAUUUGGUCUAACUAACUCCAAAAGGUUGGAAAAGAGUUCCUACAAACGUUUUGGACAGUGAUUUAAACCCUAACGCCAAAACCUUUAACCUUACCCUAGCCCCAAAUCUUAAUACCCCGGUAUUACCUUCAGGAAGCCCAAACACCCCAAAUAUUUUUUUUUUCAUUUUUCAUUUUUAUUUGGUCUAACUAACUCCCAAAGGUUGGAAAACAGUUCCUACAAAGGUUUUGGACAGUGAUUUUAACCCUAACGCCAAAAACCUUAAACCUUUUCCUAGCCCCAAAACUUAAUACCCGUGUAUUAUCUUCAGGAAGCCCGAACACCACAAAUAUUUUUUUUUCAUUUUUCAUUUCUUUUUGGUCUAACUAACUCCAAAAGGUUGGAAACGAGUUCCUACAAACGUUUUGGACAGUGAUUUAAACCCUAACGCCAAAACCUUAAACCUUACCCUAGCCCCAAAUCUUAAUACCCGGGUAUUACCUUCAGGAAGCCCAAACACCCCAAAUAUUUUUUUUUCAUUUUUCAUUUUUAUUUGGUCUAACUAACUCUAAAAGGUUGGAAAACAGUUCCUACAAAGGUUUUGGACAGUGAUUUAAACCCUAACGCCAAAACCUUAAACCUUACCCUAGCCCCAACUCUUAAUACCCGGGUAUUACCUUCAGGAAGCCCAAACACCCCAAAUAUAUUUUUUUUCAUUUUUCAUUUUUAUUUGGUCUAACUAACUCCAAAAGGUUGAAAAACAGUUCCUACAAAGGUUUUGGACAGUGAUUUAAACCCUAACGCCAAAACCUUAAACCUUACCCUAGCCCCAACUCUUAAUACCCGGGUAUUAUCUUCAGGAAGCCAAAACACCCCAAAUAUUUUUUUUUUAUUUUUUAUUUUUAUUUGGUGUAACCAACUCCAAAAGGUCUGAAACAUGUUCCUAAAUAGGUUUUGGACAGUGAUUUUAACCCUAACGCCAAAAACCUUAAACCUUACCCUAGCCCCAAAACCUAAUAGUAUUACCUUCAGGAAGCCCGAAAACCCCAAAUAUUUCUUUUUCAUUUUUCAUUUUUUUUGGUCUAACUAACUCCAAAAGGUUGGAAAAGAGUUCCUACAAAGGUUUUGGACAGUGAUUUUAACCCUAACGCCAAAAACCUUAAACCUUUCCCUAGCCACAAAACCUAAUACCCAUGUAUUAUCUUCAGGAAGCCCGAACACCACAAAUAUUUUUUUUUCAUUUUUCAUUUCUUUUUGGUCAAACUAACUCCAAAAGCUUGGAAAAGAGUUCCUACAAAGGUUUUGGACAGUGAUUUUAACCCUAACGCCAAAAACCUUAAACCUUACCAUAGCCCCAAAACUUAUACCCGGGUAUUACCUUCAGGAAGCCCGAACACCCCAAAUAUAUUUUUUUUAUUUUUUAUUUUUAUUUGGUGUAACCAACUCCAAAAGGUCUGAAACAUGUUCCUAAAUAGGUUUUGGACAGUCAUUUUAACCCUAACGCCAAAAACCUUAAACCUUCCCCUAGCCCCAAAACCUAAUACCCGGGUAUUACCUUCAGGAAUCCCUAAAAACCCCAAAUAUUUUUUUUUCAUUUUUCAUUUCUUUUUGGUCUAACUAACUCCCAAAGCUUGGAAAAUAGUUCCUACAAAGGUUUUGGACAGUGAUUUUAACCCUAACGCCAAAAACCUUAAACCUUACCCUAGCCCCAAAACCUAAUACCCGUGCAUUAUCUUCAGGAAGCCAAAACAAGCCAAAUAUUUUUUUUUCAUUUUUCAUUUUUAUUUGGUCUAACUAACUCCAAAUGGUUGGAAAAGAGUUCCUACAAAGGUUUUGGACAGUGAUUUUAACCCUAACGCCAAAAACCUUAAACCUUAGCCCCAAAACCUAAUACCCGUGUAUUAUCCUUCAGGAAGCCCGAACACCACAAAUAUUUUUUUUUCAUUUUUCAUUUCUUUUUGGUCUAACUAACUCCAACAGGUUGGAAAACAGUUCCUACAAACGUUUUGGACAGUGAUUUAAACCCUAACGCCAAAACCUUAAACCUUACCCUAGCCCCAACUCUUAAUACCCGGGUAUUACCUUCAGGAAGCCCAAACACCCCAAAUAUUUUUUUUUCAUUUUUCAUUUUUAUUUGGUCUAACUAACUCCAAAAGGUUGGAAAACAGUUCCUACAAAGGUUUUGGACAGUGAUUUAAACCCUAACGCCAAAACCUUAAACCUUACCCUAGCCCCAACUCUUAAUACCCGGGUAUUACCUUCAGGAAGCCCAAACACCCCAAAUAUAUUUUUUUUCAUUUUUCAUUUUUAUUUGGUCUAACUAACUCCAAAAGCUUGGAAAACAGUUCCUACAAAGGUUUUGGACAGUGAUUUAAACCCUAACGCCAAAACCUUAAACCUUACCCUAGCCCCAACUCUUAAUACCCGGGUAUUACCUUCAGGAAGCCCAAACACCCCAAAUAUUUUUUUAUUUUUUUUUAUUUUUAUUUGGUGUAACCAACUCCAAAAGGUCUGAAACAUGUUCCUAAAUAGGUUUUGGACAGUCAUUUUAACCCUAACGCCCAAAACCUUAAACCUUACCCUAGCCCCAAAACCUAAUAUUAUUAAAGUAUUACCUUCAGGAAGCCCGAAAACCCCAAAUAUUUUUUUUUUUCAUCUUUCUUUUUUUUUAGUCUAACUAACUCCAAAAGGUUGGAAAAGAGUUACUACAAAGGUUUUGGACAGUGAUUUAAACCCUAACGCCAAAACCUUAAACCUUACCCUAGCC